UACAGAGGGGGCAAGCGUUGUUCGGAAUUACUGGGCGUAAAGGGCGCGUAGGCGGCCUUCUAAGUCGAACGUGAAAUCCCUGGGCUCAACCCAGGAACUGCGUCCGAUACUGGAAGGCUUGAAUCCGGGAGAGGGAUGCGGAAUUCCAGGUGUAGCGGUGAAAUGCGUAGAUAUCCGGAGGAACACCGGUGGCGAAGGCGGCAUCCUGGACCGGUAUUGACGCUGAGGCGCGAAAGCCAGGGGAGCAAACGGG
Molecule: ribosomal RNA, 253 nt
Filed under: uncultured bacterium
Lineage: Bacteria
Description: partial 16S ribosomal RNA
Rfam family: Bacterial small subunit ribosomal RNA
Source: RNAcentral